GCAGUCGUGCGAGAAGUCUUUUGCUUGCAUUAGACGGAAAGCGGCGAAAGGGAGAGUAACGCGUGGAUACCUACCUCUGGGUUCGGGAUAGCUGCGGGAAACUGCAGGUAAUACCGAAUAACAUCUCCGGAUCAAAGGUGUGAUUCCGCCUGGAGACGGAUCCGCGUCCUAUUAGCUUGUUGGUGGGGUAACGGCCUACCAAGGCGACGAUGGGUACCGGGCGUGAGAGCGUGACCCGGCUCACUGGGACUGAGACACUGCCCAGACACCUACGGGUGGCUGCAGUCGAGAAUCUUCGGCAAUGGACGAAAGUCUGACCGAGCGACGCCGCGUGCGGGAUGAAGGCCUUCGGGUUGUAAACCGCUGUCAGUUGGGAGGAAAUCACAUGGGGUCAUCCCCAUGUGUUGACCUAUCUUCAGAGGAAGGACGGGCUAAGUUCGUGCCAGCAGCCGCGGUAAGACGAACCGUCCAAACGUUAUUCGGAAUCACUGGGCUUAAAGGGUGCGUAGGCGGCCCUGUAAGUUGGGUGUGAAAUCCCUCGGCUCAACCGAGGAAUUGCGCCCAAUACUGCAGGGCUAGAGGGAGACAGAGGUGAGCGGAACUUGUGGUGGAGCGGUGAAAUGCGUUGAUAUCACAAGGAACACCUGUGGCGAAAGCGGCUCACUGGGUCUUUUCUGACGCUGAGGCACGAAAGCUGGGGGAGCGAACGGGAUUAGAUACCCCGGUAGUCCCAGCUGUAAACGAUGAGCACUAGACCGGAGAACCCUCCAUAGUUUUCCGGUCGUAGCGAAAGUGUUAAGUGCUCCGCCUGGGGAGUAUGGUCGCAAGGCUGAAACUCAAAAGGAAUUGACGGGGG
RNAcentral lists this ribosomal RNA (856 nucleotides) under uncultured Planctomycetota bacterium. Its description in RNAcentral is "bacterial SSU rRNA". It matches the Rfam family "Bacterial small subunit ribosomal RNA", at positions 57 to 919 of the family's 1533-position model. Lineage: Bacteria; Pseudomonadati; Planctomycetota. The record is from RNAcentral.